GACGAACGCUGGCGGCGUGCUUAACACAUGCAAGUCGAACGGAAAGGCCCAGCUUGCUGGGUACUCGAGUGGCGAACGGGUGAGUAACACGUGGGUGAUCUGCCCUGCACUCUGGGAUAAGCCUGGGAAACUGGGUCUAAUACCGGAUAUGACCAACUGUCUCAUGGUGGUUGGUGGAAAGCUUUUGCGGUGUGGGAUGGGCCCGCGGCCUAUCAGCUUGUUGGUGGGGUAAUGGCCUACCAAGGCGACGACGGGUAGCCGACCUGAGAGGGUGAUCGGCCACACUGGGACUGAGACACGGCCCAGACUCCUACGGGAGGCAGCAGUGGGGAAUAUUGCACAAUGGGCGCAAGCCUGAUGCAGCGACGCCGCGUGAGGGAUGACGGCCUCGGUUGUAAACCGUCUUUCUACCCAGGGACGAAGACGUGAGUGACGGUACCUGGAGAAGAAG
RNAcentral lists this ribosomal RNA (451 nucleotides) under uncultured bacterium. Its description in RNAcentral is "bacterial SSU rRNA". It matches the Rfam family "Bacterial small subunit ribosomal RNA", at positions 28 to 490 of the family's 1533-position model. The record is from RNAcentral.